This 945-nucleotide ribosomal RNA is filed under the name Bacillus sp. (in: firmicutes). RNAcentral's name for it is "bacterial SSU rRNA". It matches the Rfam family "Bacterial small subunit ribosomal RNA", at positions 112 to 1025 of the family's 1533-position model. The record is from RNAcentral. Lineage: Bacteria; Bacillati; Bacillota; Bacilli; Caryophanales; Bacillaceae.
AACACGUGGGUAACCUGCCUGUAAGACUGGGAUAACUCCGGGCAACCGGAUCUAAUGCCGGAUAGUUCCUUGAACCGCACGGUUCAAGGAUGAAAGACGGUUUCGCCUGCCACUUACAGAUGGACCCGCGGCGCAUUAACUAGUUGGUGAGGUAACGGCUCACCAAGGCGACGAUGCGUAGCCGACCUGAGAGGGUGAUCGGCCACACUGGGACUGAGACACGGCCCAGACUCCUACGGGGCAGCAGUAGGGAAUCUUCCGCAAUGGACGAAAGUCUGACGGAGCAACGCCGCGUGAGUGAUGAAGGUUUUCGGAUCGUAAAGCUCUGUUGUUAGGGAAGAACAAGUGCAAGAGUAACUGCUUGCCCCUUGGACGGUACCUAACCCAGAAAGCCACGGUUAACUACGUGCCAGCAGCCGCGGUAAUACGUAGGUGGCAAGCGUUGUCCGGAAUUAUUGGGCGUAAAGGGCUCGCAGGCGGUUUCUUAAGUCUGAUGUGAAAGCCCCCCGGCUCAACCGGGGAGGGUCAUUGGAAACUUGGGAAAAUUGAGUGCAGAAGAGGAGAGUGGAAUUCCACGUGUAGCGGUGAAAUGCGUAGAGAUGUGGAGGAACACCAGUGGCGAAGGCGACUCUCUGGUCUGUAACUGACGCUGAGGAGCGAAAGCGUGGGGAGCGAACAGGAUUAGAUACCCUGGUAGUCCACGCCGUAAACGAUGAGUGCUAAGUGUUAGGGGGGUUUCCGCCCCUUAGUGCUGCAGGCUAACGCAUUAAGCACUCCGCCUUGGGGAGUACGGUCGCAAAGACUGAAACUCAAAGGGAAUUGACGGGGGCCCGCACAAGCGGGUGGAGCAUGUGGGUUUAAUUUCGAAAGCAACGCCGAAGAACCUUUACCAGGGUCUUGGACAUCCUCUGACAACCCUAGAGAUAGGGGCUUUUCCCUUCGGGG